GGCGAAUGUUGUUUUUGUUAUAAAAGAUAAUGUUAUUCGGACCCGAACAAACAAAGCAAACACUCGAUUUAUACGAUUUGGGUUCGAGAAACUAAAACAAUUUCCCACAAACCAAGCACACACCCGUAGCCCAAGCACAGGGGACACAAACGCCAUUUGGCCUUAAAACCGACCAACAACUAAUUCAAAGAAGGCCAGCGAGUGGAGAUCAAAUGCUAGCAACCGAUUGGAAUCUUGUCCACUACAAGAGCUAGGAGUAACCGGCCACGUCGGGAUGCCGACCACACGCAAUUCGUCGAAGCAGGCGGCGUCGCCGCAGGACAACAGGCGCAUUGCUGGCGGUGGCGGACUGGUGCCAGAGGAGGAGGCAGCCAACAUGCCUAACCUGUCCACACUGUCGCUGGACGAGCUGAAGCAGCUGGACAGGGAUCCGGAGUUCUUCGACGAUUUCAUCGAGGAGAUGUCUGUGGUGCAACAUCUAAACGAGGAGCUGGACUCGAUGAUGAACCAAGUGGAGAAUAUAUCACGUGAAAAUGAGAGCAAGGGCAGCCAUCUGGUGGAGCUAAAACGUCGCCUCAGCGAUGACUACACUGCCCUGAAAACGCUGGGCGAGAAGUGCGACCAACUGAAUAAGAAGUACUUGAAGAAAUCGGAGGAAUAUGCCCCCCAGCACAUACGCGAAUUACUCCAAAUUGCUGCCUCGAAUGCCGAUGCCGAUUGCGAUCGUCAUGUGGAGCACUUUCUCAAUGGAAAGAUCGAUGUGCAGACCUUCCUCAAUACCUAUCAGAGCUCGAAGAAGAUCAGUUCUGAGCGCAAGGCCAAGGAGGAGCGACUGGGCACACAACUGAGCGCCCUGGAGCGUGCCGGUAUUUAGCAGCCCUAAUAAUGAUGAUAAUGAUGAUGAUGAUGAUGAUGAUGAUGCUUACAACAACGAUGAUGAAACGCCGCCAAUCAAUCAACCCAUCUCCAGAAUGUACUGUACUAAAUGUUAUCUCGCAACCUUGCUCCAAACUAACUGGAGGGGUUCCACAAGUCGCAAUAUCUAGGAUCUAAGCAAGGCAACCCCUCACAAAAAACAUUGGAGAUCAAAAUCAGAGCCGAAUACCCUUCGCUCGCCACAAAAACGAUACGGAACGAACCAUGUGUUAUGAGUGUCCGCAGUUCAACUCAAGCUUACGCUCAAGCAAAUACCAUACCAUACCAAAAAAAGAGAACCCAAUCGAAAUGAAAUUGCCUGUAUUCCCUCCUCCUGUCCCCUAGGUUACGUCUGGGUCGCCUUUCCUGCCAACAGUUUUGUUUAUCUGCACUACCCCGUAUGUAUGUAUAUUUAAUAAAAGUUUAUGAUUUAUCUCAAA
Drosophila guanche is the source of this 1355-nucleotide RNA transcript. It is a transcript of the gene named vacuolar protein sorting-associated protein 37C, with no coding region annotated. NCBI's taxonomy places the organism in Eukaryota, Metazoa, Arthropoda, Insecta, Diptera, Drosophilidae. The transcript has 5 exons. The record is from RefSeq and is a predicted model, not a curated record.